CAAAAAUAAAAAAAUAAUAUUAUGCAAUUUUAUCAGUCCAAUCGCAGUAUGCUUUAUUUCCACUUUAAUCAUAUAACUUUUUUAUUUUGUUUAUAAUAUUCUUAACUCUAACUGAAUAAUAUAUUAUCUUAAUGUACUAACAACAAUGCUCUCGUCAAGAGGCAUGGGAAAAUAAACGGUUAAGUAAUAUUUUCCCCUCAUACAUAAACAUUUUUUUGAUUAAAAUAUUACAAUAUUAGAAUAAAAUUACUAAAAUUGAGGGAAACCAUUAUUUCAUAUGUAAUUAUGCUUUCUAAUUUGACAAAAAUCCAAUAUAUCUAUUUUAAUUUAAAUACGGUUAAUAAAAUUUAACAGCAAAAUAAUAAAAUACAAUUGGAAGU
This is a non-coding RNA of Cinara cedri, 380 nucleotides long. Lineage: Eukaryota; Metazoa; Arthropoda; Insecta; Hemiptera; Aphididae. The record is from the annotation of a GenBank genome assembly.